GUGUCAGCCGCCGCGGUAAUACGGAGGAUGCAAGCGUUAUCCGGAAUGAUUGGGCGUAAAGCGUCCGCAGGUGGCUAUGUAAGUCUGCUGUUAAAGAGUGAGGCUCAACCUCAUAAGAGCAGUGGAAACUACAUGGCUAGAGUGCGUUCGGGGCAGAGGGAAUUCCUGGUGUAGCGGUGAAAUGCGUAGAGAUCAGGAAGAACACCGGUGGCGAAAGCGCUCUGCUAGGCCGCAACUGACACUGAGGGACGAAAGCUAGGGGAGCGAAUGGGAUUAGAUACCCGAGUAGUCC
This 292-nucleotide ribosomal RNA is filed under the name uncultured bacterium. RNAcentral's name for it is "partial 16S ribosomal RNA". It matches the Rfam family "Bacterial small subunit ribosomal RNA", at positions 505 to 796 of the family's 1533-position model. The record is from RNAcentral.